GACGAACGCUGGCGGCGUGCUUAACACAUGCAAGUCGAACGGUAAGGCCCUUCGGGGUACACGAGUGGCGAACGGGUGAGUAACACGUGGGUGAUCUGCCCUGCACUUCGGGAUAAGCCUGGGAAACUGGGUCUAAUACCGGAUAGGACCACUGCCUGCAUGGGUGGUGGUGGAAAGCUUUUGCGGUGUGGGAUGGGCCCGCGGCCUAUCAGCUUGUUGGUGGGUGGUGGCCUACCAAGGCGACGACGGGUAGCCGGCCUGAGAGGGUGACCGGCCACACUGGGACUGAGAUACGGCCCAGACUCCUACGGGAGGCAGCAGUGGGGAAUAUUGCACAAUGGGCGCAAGCCUGGUGCAGCGACGCCGCGUGAGGGAUGACGGCCUUCGGGUUGUAAACCCCUUUCAGCACCGACGAAGCGCAAGUGACGGUAGGUGCAGAAGAAGGACCGGCCAACUACGUGCCAGCCGCCGCCGUAA
RNAcentral lists this ribosomal RNA (477 nucleotides) under uncultured bacterium. RNAcentral describes it as "partial 16S ribosomal RNA". It matches the Rfam family "Bacterial small subunit ribosomal RNA", at positions 28 to 523 of the family's 1533-position model. The record is from RNAcentral.